RNAcentral lists this small RNA (106 nucleotides) under Arabidopsis thaliana (thale cress). RNAcentral describes it as "ATSL247520". The record is from RNAcentral. Lineage: Eukaryota; Viridiplantae; Streptophyta; Magnoliopsida; Brassicales; Brassicaceae.
UGUUCAACAAGUCCGCUGUAGCACACAUGCCAAUUUCACAACAGAAUUUGAAAUCCGGGCUCAAACCUCGGCAGCGUAAUACUUUUUGGUUCAAUUAGUUAGUUUU